RNAcentral lists this ribosomal RNA (777 nucleotides) under uncultured Neocallimastigales. Its description in RNAcentral is "partial large subunit ribosomal RNA". It matches the Rfam family "Eukaryotic large subunit ribosomal RNA", at positions 23 to 645 of the family's 3401-position model. The record is from RNAcentral. Lineage: Eukaryota; Fungi; Neocallimastigomycota; Neocallimastigomycetes; Neocallimastigales.
AGAGAGAGACAUGCGCGCAUAUCAAUAAGCGGAGGAAAAGAAACUAACAAGGAUUCCCUUAGUAACGGCGAGUGAAGCGGGAAGAGCUCAAAUUUGAAAUCUUCAAGGUUUUACCUUGACGAAUUGUAGUUUAAAGAAGUGUUUUCUGCUGAAGUUUUGGUAAAAGUUCUUUGGAAUAGGACAUCCAUAGAGGGUGAGAAUCCCGUAUUCGACAUAUUCUUUCUAGCUUUGUGAUACACUUUCAAAGAGUCGGAUUGUUUGGGAAUGCAGUCCAGAAUGGGUGGUAAAUUUCAUCUAAAGCUAAAUAUUGGCGAGAGACCGAUAGCGAACAAGUACCGUGAGGGAAAGAUGAAAAGAACUUUGAAAAGAGAGUUAAACAGUACGUGAAAUUGUUCAAAAGGGAAGCGUUUGACACCAGUGUUGUUUUCUCGAAAAUCAAUUAAAAAUGGCUCGAUUUUGUAUUGUUGAGACCUUAAAAGCUCACUGUACAUUUUUCGUGUCUUUUUUAAUGCACUUUUCGUUUAACAAGUCAACAUCAGUUUCUUUUGUUGUAAAAGGGUCAUUGGAAGGUGGCUUUCUUUUCGGAGAAAGUGUUUAUAGCCUUUGGCCUCUGCAAUCGGAGAGGCUGAGGUCUGCAGCGUAGACUCUUCGGGGUUAGAUACAUUUGUGCUAAGUUAUAGCUUUUUAUAGACAACUUGUUGACUAUAAUUAGUCUUGUAGCUUACUCGCUUAUGCUAUUUUACCUACGCUUAGGAUGUUGAAGUCAUCGUAUCGCGC